GAUGAACGCUGGCGGCGUGCCUAAUACAUGCAAGUCGAGCGAACGGACGAGAAGCUUGCUUCUCUGAUGUUAGCGGCGGACGGGUGAGUAACACGUGGAUAACCUACCUAUAAGACUGGGAUAACUUCGGGAAACCGGAGCUAAUACCGGAUAAUAUUUUGAACCGCAUGGUUCAAAAGUGAAAGACGGUCUUGCUGUCACUUAUAGAUGGAUCCGCGCUGCAUUAGCUAGUUGGUAAGGUAACGGCUUACCAAGGCAACGAUGCAUAGCCGACCUGAGAGGGUGAUCGGCCACACUGGAACUGAGACACGGUCCAGACUCCUACGGGAGGCAGCAGUAGGGAAUCUUCCGCAAUGGGCGAAAGCCUGACGGAGCAACGCCGCGUGAGUGAUGAAGGUCUUCGGAUCGUAAAACUCUGUUAUUAGGGAAGAACAUAUGUGUAAGUAACUGUGCACAUCUUGACGGUACCUAAUCAGAAAGCCACGGCUAACUACGUGCCAGCAGCCGCGGUAAUACGUAGGUGGCAAGCGUUAUCCGGAAUUAUUGGGCGUAAAGCGCGCGUAGGCGGUUUUUUAAGUCUGAUGUGAAAGCCCACGGCUCAACCGUGGAGGGUCAUUGGAAACUGGAAAACUUGAGUGCAGAAGAGGAAAGUGGAAUUCCAUGUGUAGCGGUGAAAUGCGCAGAGAUAUGGAGGAACACCAGUGGCGAAGGCGACUUUCUGGUCUGUAACUGACGCUGAUGUGCGAAAGCGUGGGGAUCAAACAGGAUUAGAUACCCUGGUAGUCCACGCCGUAAACGAUGAGUGCUAAGUGUUAGGGGGUUUCCGCCCCUUAGUGCUGCAGCUAACGCAUUAAGCACUCCGCCUGGGGAGUACGUCCGCAAGGUUGAAACUCAAAGGAAUUGACGGGGACCCGCACAAGCGGUGGAGCAUGUGGUUUAAUUCGAAGCAACGCGAAGAACCUUACCAAAUCUUGACAUCCUUUGACAACUCUAGAGAUAGAGCUUUCCCCUUCGGGGGACAAAGUGACAGGUGGUGCAUGGUUGUCGUCAGCUCGUGUCGUGAGAUGUUGGGUUAAGUCCCGCAACGAGCGCAACCCUUAAGCUUAGUUGCCAUCAUUAAGUUGGGCACUCUAAGUUGACUGCCGGUGACAAACCGGAGGAAGGUGGGGAUGACGUCAAAUCAUCAUGCCCCUUAUGAUUUGGGCUACACACGUGCUACAAUGGACAAUACAAAGGGCAGCGAAACCGCGAGGUCAAGCAAAUCCCAUAAAGUUGUUCUCAGUUCGGAUUGUAGUCUGCAACUCGACUACAUGAAGCUGGAAUCGCUAGUAAUCGUAGAUCAGCAUGCUACGGUGAAUACGUUCCCGGGUCU
This 1372-nucleotide ribosomal RNA is filed under the name uncultured bacterium. Its description in RNAcentral is "bacterial SSU rRNA". It matches the Rfam family "Bacterial small subunit ribosomal RNA", at positions 28 to 1381 of the family's 1533-position model. The record is from RNAcentral.